Long non-coding RNA from Cyprinus carpio (common carp), 2429 nucleotides. Lineage: Eukaryota; Metazoa; Chordata; Actinopteri; Cypriniformes; Cyprinidae. The record is from Ensembl.
UACACUGAAGCUGGCAGACGGCUAUGGUAAGGGGCAUGACAUCUCACAACCAGGCGCCAAGUGCUGUCAAUCACAACACAUAUUGGCCCAGCUAACAAAUCACAUUUCAUAUUUCAGAAGGCGGGCCUUCAUUUGAUACAAUAGAGUUUCUAACUAACUAACACUGUGCAUAUAGCAGUUCUUAAUCCUGGUCCUCGCAACCCCGCUCUGCACUAUUUGUAUAUUUCUCGUACCGCUUCAAGGGUUUUUUCCAUUCGAACGUAAGUGCCCUGCGAAAUGGACAUCACAGGAUAUUUCGUCAUGAUAGGGCAUUCAAGUGAGCGAGACAUGACUUCUAUGCAAAUCUCAUGAUUACAGUUAAAUAAUUAACCCCCUCAUACUUCUGGAGUAAGUCUUGUCCGCAUCCUACAUUCUUGUAAGUACAUUAACUUAUCAUCUUUUUCCCAUAACAUUUGUAUAUUAUUAUUAUUAUUAUUAUUAGCCUAUUAUUAUUGGUUAUAUUUUUAUAUUUGUUUACAUACAUUUUUUUCCCCUUCAUUUCAAUCUCUUAACGCUCUGAAUACUUUUGCAAAGCAAUACACAAAUUCAAAGGGGAAAUAUAGCUCUAAUAAAAAAUAUAGCUCUAAUUAGUUAAUGUAAUAAUAAUAAUAAUAAUAAUACACAAAUAUUAAAUGAAAUGUUUAAUGUUAAUAAAAAACUGUUGUUCCCUCAACAUAAGAAGUCAUGGCCACGACAUAAUAUCAUGUUCCCAUGAGGUAAUAUGAUGUUCCCACAUAUUAAUAUCUUGUGGCCACAACAUAUUAUUAUGUUCCCAUAAGGGAGGGACAGCUGGAUUAAGAACACCUGAAAUAUUGCAAAGGGCAUACCAGCUAACUAUACUCCAAAGAAUAAUUGCAGUUGGGGCAGAAUUAAAAGCGGAGACGUCAAGUCGGACACUUUCUGCUCACGGUAGUGAUGCUCUCAUAGUGUUUUCAUACUCUAUCACAGAUGAAGUGAAUAAAAUUAAAGAUGUUAUAAUAAACCUGAAUGACACACGUCAUCAUUGUUAUGUGGUGAAUUUGACGAAUCUUCAUCAAAGCUCCUGCACCCGCUCUACAGAAACUGCACUGGCUGAGUUAGUCGGCUGCUCUCAGAGCACUAUCGCGAUACUUUAAUGCCACACAUGACAGUGACGUGGCAUCGGUGCCGUCUCAAGUGGGGCAAAAUUUCUAACCGGCACGCACUGCUUCAAGUCAGCCGCUGAUCGGUCUACACAGCACCGCAUGAAGCAGAACACACCUAUUGAUUAGCAUGCUCAUGUGUGUUUGAAUAGGGUUAGAGCUAAACUCUGCAGGAAAGUGGAUCUUGUGGGCCAGAUUUGAGGAUGCCUGUUCUAUGCCAAUUAUCAUUUUGGGGAAAAUGCUUCAUUUAUUAUUAUGGUAAUACUUUGAUAAAUGUAUGAAAUCAUGUAAAUAUUUUAUCCAAGUAGUUUUGGUUUCUCAUCACUAGAAAAACCUUGGGUUUAUCUGCAGUUGCUGUUGUGGGAAUACAUAUGCUGUUUAAUAUUUUCAGUCCUUAUUUUCCUCAUAAAGUGUAACAGAUAAUCACAGUUCUAUAUGCAAGACUGUUCUACCUCCUAUGUUUCUGUUAAGAACUAAUACACAAGUACAUGGUGCUCCCAGGAACUGGGAAGUAUGCCUUAGAGAGAGGGAGAUAUAUGUAGUUAUGAUUUCAGUGUUCUUGGCAACUUCUUUUCUCAUGGGUCACUUCCAAUCUGACAUUAAUACAAGUCUUUUCAUCACUGUUUAGAGGCAGUUUUAAAUACAUUCACCUUAAAGGGGUCAUCGGAUGCCCAUUUUCCACAAGUUGAUAUGAUUCUUUGCAGUCUUAAUGAAAAGUCUAUAAUAUACUUUGGUUAAAAUUUCUCAAUGGUAGUGUAUAACAAAACCUUUUUUUGCCCUGUCAAAAACAGCUCUAGUUUCAUUGCAUUUCCCUUUAAAUGCUAAUGAGCUCUGCUAUCCCCGCCCCUCUCCCUCCAUGGGGUGACACACAGUUCUCUGAGAGACUGUAAGCUUUAGCUGCAUUCAUCAUGAAACUUGCUAAAUAGCAAAUUAUUAGGAAAGGCAAUUUGCAAAAUUCAUUAAAAAAAAUGUACAGUAGGUGGACAACCAAAAUGGGUAAUACCGCCGCAAGGCCGCGGCGUUAACUGCAAGUCAGUCGCAUGUUAAAAUCAUUCGCGAAACUACCGCCAGAUGGCGCAAAGGGACGGAUUGCGAACUGAAUGUAAUUGAAAGGAAGACGUAAAACAACAAUAACAUUAUAAUAUACACUAUUGUAACAAAUUACCUCAAAGUGAGAUGUACAUAAUUAAUCAUAACGGGUUAUUAUUAACUACAAUCAUCUUCAGGAAUUACUUGUAGCAUUAUAUCAUUAAUAGUACAAUAAAAUGA